RNAcentral lists this ribosomal RNA (403 nucleotides) under uncultured bacterium. RNAcentral's name for it is "bacterial SSU rRNA". It matches the Rfam family "Eukaryotic small subunit ribosomal RNA", at positions 555 to 960 of the family's 1831-position model. RNAcentral also lists the same sequence under 1 other name. The record is from RNAcentral.
GCGGUCUGGUGCCCGCAGCCGCGGGAAUUCCAGCCCCAAGAGAGUAUAUUAAAGUUGUUGCAAUUAAAAAUGCCCCCAUUGAACUUUGGGCUUGGCUGGCCGGUCCGUUUUUUAACGAGUACUGGUUUUCAGCCGAACCUUUCCUCCUGGUUUCUGUGUAUUUGGGCUUGUCUCAGCUGCAUAUGAUCCAGGACUAUUACUUUGAAAAAAUUAGAGUGUUCAAAGCCGGCCUUUGCUCGAAUAUAUGAACAUGGAAUCAUAAAAUACGACGUAUGGGUCUAUUUUGUUGGUUUCCAGGACCAUCGUAAUGAUUAAUAGGGACGGUCGGGGGCAUCCUGAUUCAACUGUCAUAUGUGAAAUUGUAGCAUUUAUUGCAGACUAACUACUGCCAAAACUUUUGCCC